RNA transcript from Oncorhynchus tshawytscha (Chinook salmon), 2604 nucleotides. It is a transcript of the gene named pre-mRNA-processing factor 39-like, with no coding region annotated. Lineage: Eukaryota; Metazoa; Chordata; Actinopteri; Salmoniformes; Salmonidae. The transcript has 15 exons. The record is from RefSeq and is a predicted model, not a curated record.
GACGUAUUUUUUUUUGUCAUGGCGGCAGAAGGCUCGGAUUCAGAAGACCUGAACACCAACGGGCUAAUGGAGGCUCCUUCAGCUCUGGAAGCCAUGGAGGCUGUCCAACUUCCAACAGAGAAGGAAGAGGCAUCAGAGGAGAAUGGUGGAGGAGGAGCCUCUGAGGCUCCAGAAGCAGCAGCUGCGACAUCAUACAACAUGCCUCUGGCAGAGAAUGAGGAGGAAGAAGACGGAGAGUUCCCUGCGGACUUUGACCGACUCUGGAAGCUGGCCCAUGACAAUCCACAGGACUUCUCUAGCUGGACUGACCUACUGCAGUACUGUGAGCAAGAGAGUCACAUGACAGCGUCACGUCGGGCGCUGGUAGCCUUUCUGGCACGGUACCCACUGUGCUACGGAUACUGGAAGAAGUUUGCCGACCUGGAGCGACGUGCUGGCUACACCAACAAAGCUCAGGAGGUGUGUGUUCAGGGUCUGAAGGCCAUUCCCCUGAGUGUAGAUCUGUGGAUCCACUACAUUAACCUGCUACUGGGCACGCUCAACAUGAACCUGCCAGAGUCCUCUCAGCGCAUUCGCAGUGCAUUUGAGGAGGCGGUGACGGCAGCAGGACUGGACUUCCACUCUGACCGUCUGUGGGAGCUGUACAUCGAGUGGGAGAAGGAGCAGGGAGACAUGAAGGCUGCCACUGGAGUCUACGACAGAGUCCUCAGAGUCCCCACUCAGCUGUACAGCAGCCACUAUGAGAAAUUCAAGACUCAUCUUAAUGCCCAUGCGCCCAAGGACGUCCUCUCAGCAGUGGAGUAUGAGGGGUUGCUUGAGGAAUCUAAACAGAGCCACAAGACUGAGAAGUCUGAGUUGGCUGAGGGGGAAGAGGAGUUACCACCUGGGGAAGAGAAGGAACCUACAGAGGAAGAACUGAUUCCGAAAAUGCGAGAGCUCCUAUUGGCUCGCAGAGAGAAGGUGUACCAAGACCUGGAGGGAGAGGUCAGGAAGAGGUGGAACUUUGAGGAAGCUAUCAAGCGUCCAUAUUUCCACGUGAAGCCUCUGGACCGGACCCAGCUGAGGGCCUGGCACUCCUACCUGGACUGGGAGCUCACCGAGCUGGGGGGUGAAAAGGAGGUGAAGACCGAGUCCGAACCAGAGGCCAUGGAGGGCCAGGAAGAGGAGCAAAAGGAGGAAAAGGAGGGGUCAAAGAGCAGUGAGAUCGUUGCCGGGGGAGACCGGAGGGUACGGAUCCUGUUUGAGCGCUGUCUGAUUGCCUGCGCUCUCUACGAGGAGUUCUGGACCAAGUAUGUUCAGUACCUGGAACCUCAGAGUCUGGACGAGGCGCGGGGAGUGUUUCGGCGAGCCUGUGAGAUCCACCUGGCCCACAAACACACCAUGCACCUGCAGUGGGCCACCUUCGAGGAGAGGCAUGGUGACCUAACAGAGGCACGGCGAGUGUUGGAGGCUCUGGAAACCUCAGUGCCGGGAUUGGCCAUGGUCCGGCUGCGCAGGGCGGGGCUAGAGAGACGGGCGGGCCGGCUAGAUGAAUCAGAAGCUCUGCUCAGGGACGCGGUGGCCCAGGCCAAAGAGACACCUCACCUCCAUGCGUUCUACUCCAUCAAACUGGCCCGGCUGCUGCAGAAGCUCUGCAAGAACCCCAGCAAGGCCCGGGGAGUCCUGCAGGAGGCGCUGGAGAUUAGCCCGGAUGACGGUAAGCUGCACCUGAACCUGCUGGAGCUGGAGGUGUCCGGUGACCCCAGAGGGUCGGCCGAGGGGGUGCAGCAGUGUGUGACGCGGGCGCUGGCCGCACCCCUCUCCCCACAGACCAAGAUCCUCUUCUCCCAGAGGGGCCUGCAGUACGCUGAGGACUAUGGGACCUCUGUGCAAAGUGUGCUAACAGUCUAUGAGGAGCAUCAGAAGCUACUGAAAGAGCUCGGCAACAAGAAGAGAGUGGCUGAGAACGGAGACAGUGAGGACCCAGAGAAGAUGAGUAAAGGAGAAGAUGUAUCUGCUGUGCCCGCUCCACCACAGGCCCCUCCCACAAUGCCCCAUGUCCCCAUAACGACACCACCUCCACCCAUGAUGGGUGGGGACAUGAGUGCGGUUCAUGCAGGCUAUGGAGGAUAUGGAAGCUGGCAUCAGGGACUGAUUUAGACCUGGGACACCAGGUGGGUGCAAUUAUCAGGUAGAACAGAAAACCAGAAGUAGUCCGAACCUCGUAGGCAACCACAGUAUGGGGGAUACGGAGGCUACCAGCAAGCCUGGAACUAUAAUCAGGGUUACUACCCUCCUAGCUAAGGGUGAAGAGAACUCCUGUGACACACCAACUGACAGCAGGGGUUACCAGAGAUGAUUCAGCAUUGACGACCCAGUGUUCACGUGUUUAAACUCCAUGGAUGCACCCCAAAUGGCACAUUAUGCCCUAUAUAGUGCACUACCUUUGACAAGGGCCCAUAGAGUUCUGGUCAAAAGUAGUGAACUUUGUAGGGAAUAGGGUGCAAACUCAUAUCUUUUAUCAGGAACAGGGGUGGGACCUGUGACGUCUACUACUCGUUUGGUCUUUGAAAAUGUGCUCUUGUACAUUGUUUUAAUGAUAAACUAUUUUUGUAUUCUCUUCUA